GUGAACUGGGCAGUAAGAUGAGUGGCUUUGUACAUGUUUCCAAAUAUAUGAGGACUUUGAUGGAGAAUUGCGAUGUCCAUCUGGUGGAGAUUGAAGGGAAGCAGAUUUCUACUUCUAUAUGAAAGUUGGUCAAAGUUGUUUGAAGAAUAAAUCAGCUGCUGAGUCAGGAAGAAAUGGAUGAAUUACUUCUGGAUCUACUUAGGAAAAUACCUGUCUUCCAGCAGCUGAAAUUGGAAAUGAUGACAAGACUAUGUGAACCCUAGAUGGAGGAAAGACAUUUCUGGGGUCUGUCCCACAGAACCUUCCACCUUCCAGCUGACAGCAUCAUCUGUAUUUUGGAAAGUCUCCAAUCAAAACUUGAAGAUGAGAAAUUUUCCUGACAAGGCUGUACAGAUUGGGUCUUUUCCCUCUGCUUCUGAGGCUGCCAUCCGUUAUCAGGAUUUAUAGUUGCUGACAUCUUGCUUUAAUAAUUCACAAGGAAUAGAAUCCAUUUUGUGCUUCCGUUUUCUCAGUCAAGUCAUUGAUGCAGACAGAUGGAAAACAGGCUUUUUGUCAGUGAAAUAAAUCAAGAGAACUCAAAGUAAUACUAAAGGACUUGCCACUACUAAACAUUUUACCACCAAUGUACAGCUAGAUAAAACCAGAAGCAGGGCAGGCUCUGCAGUGAACUCUGAGUUCUAGCACUUCUGGCAUUGAAGGAAAAAGCCUGCUCUCCCAUAGUUCUUCAGAAGGCUGGCAGCCAAAGGUGGUGGCUUUCGUGAUUUAUGGCAAGGAAAUCAUUUUAAGGACAAAAUUAAAUUCCAAAUUCA
RNAcentral lists this long non-coding RNA (809 nucleotides) under Heterocephalus glaber (naked mole-rat). RNAcentral describes it as "lncRNA (ENSHGLG00000046578.1)". Lineage: Eukaryota; Metazoa; Chordata; Mammalia; Rodentia; Bathyergidae. The record is from RNAcentral.